UCAGUACUCUUGUGUUUCCCACCUUUAUCACAACCAAAUAUUAAUUUGUUACUUCUCCCUCUCUUCCCUGUUUCAGUAUCUGAACGACUGAUAAUAACAGUUACUUUAUUAUCGAUUCCAACCUCUUUAAUCCAUCUGAUCACCUCUUCUCGUGUACCAAAUCUUUCAGUCGUUAUAAACGCAUCAGAAGUAUCUACACAUAUUU
Molecule: long non-coding RNA, 205 nt
Filed under: Lathyrus oleraceus (garden pea)
Lineage: Eukaryota; Viridiplantae; Streptophyta; Magnoliopsida; Fabales; Fabaceae
Description: Pisum sativum (pea) long non-coding RNA (PSAT_LNC022007)
Source: RNAcentral